Molecule: ribosomal RNA, 253 nt
Filed under: uncultured bacterium
Lineage: Bacteria
Description: partial 16S ribosomal RNA
Rfam family: Bacterial small subunit ribosomal RNA
Source: RNAcentral
UACGUAGGGUGCAAGCGUUAAUCGGAAUUACUGGGCGUAAAGCGUGCGCAGGCGGUUCGUUAAGUUCGUUGUGAAAGCCCCGGGCUCAACCUGGGAAUGGCAAUGGAAACUGGCGAGCUUGAGUGUGGCAGAGGGGGGUGGAAUUCCGCGUGUAGCAGUGAAAUGCGUAGAGAUGCGGAGGAACACCGAUGGCGAAGGCAGCCCCGUGGGCCAACACUGACGCUCAGGCACGAAAGCGUGGGGAGCAAACAGG